UUGAAGUCAUGCUAAAUGCUGCAGUUGAGCCUUACCUAGUCUCCUUGUUUAAGUUUUUUUUAAGGUUAAGCCUAGGAUGGGUAACUAUGAGGUUUGCCUAUUUGUCUUAAAAUAUAUACUUCUAGGACAUGCUAAAAUUAGAAAUGAUGACAUUCUGUUUUAUAGGACACAGUUUAGAGCAGAUUAUAGAGAUACACAAAGAGUAACUCAGAUGUGCUGGCCCUCAAGCUUAUCAGAGAUCUGAUGAAUAUGGCAUUUUAACAUGUGUAAGCUUAUUGUGACAGGAAGUCCCAAAAUCCUGACAGUAGCUCCCCCAAGGUCUCCGAGAAGAUUUGGGCACAACUACAGAUGACUGCAACUCUGGAUUGUGGUAUGCUAACCACUGGGCAAUACUGCCUCAACUGGCCCACUGCUAAGGCCCAGCCAAAACUGUGGACACCUGGAGUCAAUGUUUCACGUUGCUAAGGGCGAGACUGCCAUUUACUACAUACAACCACUGGCUGGAUUGAGACUCGCCUUCUCCUGGGACGCCAUUAGAAGGCCUCCGUCUCUCCCGGCUCCCAAUGGACAACAACCAUCACCACAUCCCUACAUAGAGACUUCUCUGCCCCCAAUGGGAGAUGCCCAGACGCCCGUCCCUCCAGACAAGCUGGAGAAUUUCAGGUUUCUAUCCCUAGUGCCAGCUGGCACCAGGGCCUCUUAAGUUUACAUGCUUCUGUAACUAAACCUCACCUCAAUGACAGAUCAAAAACAAAGCCUUCUUUAAUAUUGCCAGUGAUUGGGUAAAUAAAGUCUCGUCCAGGUAGACAGAGGUUCCCAUGUACAAACCUCAUCGAUCCAAACCUUUCAAUGCCUACCUACAGGAUUUUCUCUGUUUCAGUGUCCUGCUAGACACAGGUGUCUCCUACAGCCACAACAGCGCCAAAGCAGCUACAGGUGUUCAGCUCUGACCUCACAGACUUCCAACAAGAUACAGGUGUUCAGCUCUGACCUUACCAACAAGCUGGACCUGCACCUUCCCUCCCAGCCAUGGGUGUUCUCACAGACCUGGAAAAGCAUCAAAGAAACCUAUUCUUCCUGGACUUCAGCCUUUUGACCUCCCUACAUCACCCCCAGUGUCAGCAGGAAGUAGCCAGAAGAGAAUCUAUGCCCGUUAUCCACCUGUUGUUAACAAAAGGCUGAAGUGGUGUGCUUCAGGACCAGGACAAGCAGCUCCAGGUUCUCCCAGUGUUCCCCAGUCCUUCCCUGCUGCCUUGCAUGGCUGGCAAUUCUCUCUGUUAAAAACCCUCUACCCUAAACCCGCUGCCCUAAAUUUUCCAGGGCAGAGACUUCUCUUAUUCUUAACCUUACAACCUAACCAUUUGUUGUUAUUCCCCUCUCAACCUCUUACAUGACAACCAAGAGCUGCUUCCAAUGAGCCUAAGUUUAUAUACUUUAACUUACCUUAUAAAAGGCAGCCCAAGCUCCCUAUUUUUAAUUAUAGAAAAAAGGGGGUAAUGUUGGGAUCAGCAAGCAGGCAUUUCUACAGGCAGCCCCUGGGGCCUGGCAGACCCGGCAGGUAUCAGGCAUUUGGAAAGACACCUAGACCACCUGCUGACCACCGGAAACCACCUGCACAUGCUCUGGACCACCCUAUAAGAGAACUGGGGUCCCUCCCCUUCCUUCUUCUUCUCGCUCCUUCUUCUCUCUUUGUCUGUCUGUCUCUCUCUCUUUCUCUCUCUCUAUAUAUAUAUCUCUAUCUAACUCCCUCUCUGUAACCCCCCUCUA
Molecule: long non-coding RNA, 1767 nt
Organism: Meriones unguiculatus (Mongolian gerbil)
Lineage: Eukaryota; Metazoa; Chordata; Mammalia; Rodentia; Muridae
Exons: 3
Source: RefSeq, a predicted model, not a curated record